Molecule: ribosomal RNA, 568 nt
Filed under: uncultured bacterium
Lineage: Bacteria
Description: bacterial SSU rRNA
Rfam family: Bacterial small subunit ribosomal RNA
Source: RNAcentral
GGCGGACGGGUGAGUAACGCGUGAGGAACCUGCCUUUCAGAGGGGGACAACAGUUGGAAACGACUGCUAAUACCGCAUGACACAUAGGUGUCGCAUGGCACUUAUGUCAAAGAUUUAUCGCUGAAAGAUGGCCUCGCGUCUGAUUAGCUAGUUGGUGAGGUAACGGCCCACCAAGGCGACGAUCAGUAGCCGGACUGAGAGGUUGAACGGCCACAUUGGGACUGAGAUACGGCCCAGACUCCUACGGGAGGCAGCAGUGGGGAAUAUUGGGCAAUGGGCGCAAGCCUGACCCAGCAACGCCGCGUGAAGGAAGAAGGCUUUCGGGUUGUAAACUUCUUUUGUCAGGGACGAGUAGAAGACGGUACCUGACGAAUAAGCCACGGCUAACUACGUGCCAGCAGCCGCGGUAAUACGUAGGUGGCAAGCGUUGUCCGGAUUUACUGGGUGUAAAGGGCGUGUAGCCGGGAGGGCAAGUCAGAUGUGAAAUCCACGGGCUCAACUCGUGAACUGCAUUUGAAACUACUCUUCUUGAGUAUCGGAGAGGCAAUCGGAAUUCCUAGUGUAGCGG